UGUUAUCUUAAUAAGCAUGAUGGGUGUUUUCAGCAGUGAUUGCUAGACAAAAAAGAUCACAUCAGAAGUUAAUUUAUGAUGAGGCUAGUAAGUGUCAGAAAAUCAGAUUAAAACUGCUUGCUCGUAGUGAAGUCCUUGUAUGUUUACCUCUGGAUUUCUUAAAGAAAUGUGGAGAAGGCUGUUUGGCUGUGACUUCAGAGUUUUCUGCAUCCAUCUCACCUUCUCAGAAGAAGCCAAACACAAUUAUCACUGAAGCAUCGCCUUCACCUUCCCAUUUGUGACGGAUAGAUUUAAUGGUCAACAUGGUACAUCGUAGAGUCUCCGUUAUGGGAAGUCUACAUUGCAUUGGCUUGUAGAAACAUCUGCGUGUGGACUGUCUUGAUUGCCUCAAUUAAAAUGCAAAAACCCGCCCCAAAUGGAGGUGCCACCUUCAGAAGACUUUCCACCGUGCUUCCUUGGCCUUCGUGCUCAUUGAGUCUGUUUUAGGAAACAAUCGGAGCCGGCUUCAAGACUCAGAGCUCUUUCACACUUCCUCCUCCUCCUUACUGGUCUUCCCCAACUGUCAGGUGGAAGAACAAUACUGUGUACAUGAAUUGUCUUAGACAUCGUAACAGAAGCCGACAGAAUUGAUGCAGACAUUUCUCAGCGCAUAAAUAACUUCCGAAACUUUAUGGAAUGAGUGUCAAGACUGAAAAGAAUAAAUCUGUCAGAAGCUUAAAGGACAGCACCCAGAGCAGAGCCCACUUCAGGGAUGCCUUCAUGAGAAAAGACUUCAGGCUGCAAAGGUCAUACCAAGUGCAGACAUAACUCAGUCCAACGGGAACAAUGGCAAGGGAAUACUAGAAGAAUAAGAGAAGCCAAGCACGUGGCAUUCCCCAGGGAUUUGGAAUUGGAGGUACAGUGUUACCACAGUCACACCUCAACUGAAGAGAUGGCAAUUGGACACACUCUGGGUUCUGCAAGACUUUGAAGACAGUAUCAAAGCUGCCCUCCUGAAUGGCAGAAAUUGUGGAAUGUCAUUCAAGGAACAGCAAACCUUCAGGACAAUGACAAACAGAGGUGGACCUUCUCAGGUGUUCUUAAGCACGGGUGCAGCAUCCGGCAACAAUCCAUCCAUCGCUGACAAGUGAAAUCACUUAACUGGAUACUGAGAUGCGAUUGGGAUGAGCCAUCAAUGGGAGAGUAAGAAAUCCAAGGCUGCUGACCUGCUCAGGAUGAGUUUCAGUUACAUGCUGGCAAAGUCUCUGGUUUAGCAUGCUGGAUUUGGUAUUAAAAAGUAGUUUAAAAACAAUG
Meriones unguiculatus (Mongolian gerbil) is the source of this 1293-nucleotide long non-coding RNA. RefSeq lists it as uncharacterized. The record is from RefSeq and is a predicted model, not a curated record. Lineage: Eukaryota; Metazoa; Chordata; Mammalia; Rodentia; Muridae. The transcript is spliced from 5 exons.